GAUCAUGGCUCAGGAUGAACGCUAGCUACAGGCUUAACACAUGCAAGUCGGGGGGCAGCGGGAUUGAAGCUUGCUUCAAUUGCCGGCGACCGGCGCACGGGUGAGUAACGCGUAUCCAACCUUCCGCUUACUCGGGGAUAGCCUUUCGAAAGAAAGAUUAAUACCCGAUGGUAUCUUAAGCACGCAUGAGAUUUAGAUUAAAGAUUUAUCGGUAAGCGAUGGGGAUGCGUUCCAUUAGG
RNAcentral lists this ribosomal RNA (239 nucleotides) under uncultured bacterium. RNAcentral describes it as "partial 16S ribosomal RNA". It matches the Rfam family "Bacterial small subunit ribosomal RNA", at positions 15 to 245 of the family's 1533-position model. The record is from RNAcentral.